This is a long non-coding RNA of Lolium rigidum, 1336 nucleotides long. RefSeq lists it as uncharacterized. Lineage: Eukaryota; Viridiplantae; Streptophyta; Magnoliopsida; Poales; Poaceae. The record is from RefSeq and is a predicted model, not a curated record. The transcript has 4 exons.
AAGGAUAUAUCAUAUACAAUGCAUUAAUACAGUGAAAAAAUUAAGUAGUUUUGAAGGUGAUUUUUUUCUUGGUCUGCAGCUGAAAGAAAAGAAAGCAAGACAAGUAAAGAAUAAAACAGUUGUUAAAAUUCCAGAACUAAUCUGAAUGCUCUGCUGAACGAGAGGUCAGUGUUUUCUAAAAAAACAGAGUUUAGCGGUGAAACUAAUGGACACUAAAAGAUUUUUCCUAUUUUGUCCUCCUUAGUUCUCCAUGCAAUUCCAUAAGGCUAGCUACAUAUCUGACAAUAGAAUUAUUUGCAUAUCGAAUCUUUGAUGGUGACAGUUUUGAAAUUCAACUCUUUGAGGGUAAAUCUUUGCUUGCUCUCUAUCUGAAUUCAAAUAAUACAGAAAAUAAGUACAGCAGAGACAACCAACUGUUAGUCAUAUUGGAACAGUAAUAUGAUUGCUCUGCUACACGACUAGAAAGAAAACACACAAAGAAACCGAUGGAAAGUGAAAGAUCAUGGGCUGUCAGAAUUUUCCAUCCUGUUCUUAUUUUAUGACAUGUUAAACUGUGAAGAAAAGUACUUCAAAGCUCAGAAACAAGAGGCUGCUCUUCGUCGGUGACUCAAUCAAUAGGAACAAAUUGGUCUCCCUGGUGUGCAUGCUCGAUUCCUCCAUUCCUAAGAACAUAGGAGGCAUGCAUAACACUUUCUGUCAGCUGACUUAUACAAAUUCUGGUCGUCGCUGAUACUGGAAUCAAGCAACAACAUUCUGAUAAUCUACCGGAUGGAGUACCAGAUCAUAAGGUAUAAAAUUAAGAAGCAUUCCAUUAUACAUAGAGGAACGGUGAAUCAGAAGGCCAAUAUGAGGAUGAAGGUCAUGUAUGCCUCAUUUGACGAUGGUGAUGCAAAGCUCGACGAAGUGAAGAUGGUCUAAGGUUUUGAGAUCUCUCUCAAGAAGCUAACUAAUUAGCUGGGAAUGAACAUCACCAAAAUGACUAAAAUCUAUUUCGCUGGCUCAUCGCCUAACCAUACUGGGAAAGCGUGUGGGGUGGAGACGACAACAAGGCGUAGCCGAUCCCGGAUGCUGGGGAUGAAGAGGUCACCACAGACUGCAGCAUGAUGGGCCAUGCUGGAGAUAUCUUCAGAACACUGAAGACGACGCCCCAGAUUGCCAACACCAGCUCUACGUGGGCUGUACACUUUGGUGUUUCACAGGUGCUAUUGGCAUAUGAAACUGAUGUCAAUCAGUGACGCCCAGUGUAUGAACUAACAAGAAAGAAAACUCUUGCAUCAUCAUUGUACUUCAUAAGCUACUUUUGACUGACUAUGAAAAAUAUACCCUCUAGAUGCAA